GCAUAGAAACGUUGUACAGGUGCAGAGAUGCUUAAUAGGGAACCGGGUGAAAAUCCCGGAACUGUCCCAGCAACCGUGAUGCGGACGAAAUGACGUAUACCACUGCUUUGGGUGUCAGGAUUGACAGGGAAAGCGGGAAGGUGUCGGAGUAGGAUGAAGCUAAGUCGGGAGACCUGCCUGUAUAUGACUCCUGGG
This 195-nucleotide non-coding RNA is filed under the name Syntrophobotulus glycolicus. Lineage: Bacteria; Bacillati; Bacillota; Clostridia; Eubacteriales; Desulfitobacteriaceae. RNAcentral also lists the same sequence under 1 other name. The record is from RNAcentral.